CAUGCCGUAUUAAGGCGAAACCGCGAAUGGCUCAUUAAAUCAGUUAUGGUUCCUUGGAUCGUACCUUACUACUUGGAUAACUGUGGCAAUUCUAGAGCUAAUACAUGCAGCAGAGCUCCGACCUUCGGGGACGAGCGCUUUUAUUAGACCAAAACCAAUCGGACUCUGUCCGUCUCUUGUGGUGACUCUGUAUAACUUUGGGCUGAUCGCACGGGCCCGUCCCGGCGACGUAUCUUUCAAGUGUCUGCCUUAUCAACUUUCGAUGGUAGGUUACGCGCCUACCAUGGUCGUAACGGGUAACGGGGAAUCAGGGUUCGAUUCCGGAGAGGGAGCCUGAGAAACGGCUACCACAUCCAAGGAAGGCAGCAGGCGCGCAAAUUACCCACUCCCAGAACGGGGAGGUAGUGACGAAAAAUAACAAUACGGGACUCUUUUGAGACCCCGUAAUUGGAAUGAGAACACUCUAAAUCCUUUAACGAGGAUCCAUUGGAGGGCAAGUCUGGUGCCAGCCGCCGCGGUAACUCCAGCUCCAAUAGCGUAUAUUAAAGUUGUUGCGGUUAAAAAGCUCGUAGUUGGAUCUCAGUUCCAGACGGGUGGUCCGCCUACCGGUGGUUACUGCCUGUUCUGAACAGCCAGCCGGUUUCUCUUGAUGAUCUUCACCGGUUGUCUUGGGUGACCGGCAAGUUUACUUUGAAAAAAUUAGAGUGCUCAAAGCAGGCGUGACGCCUGAAUAAUGGUGCAUGGAAUAAUGGAAUAGGACCUCGGUUCUAUUUUGUUGGUUUUCGGAACACGAGGUAAUGAUUAAGAGGGACAGACGGGGGCAUUCGUAUUGCGACGCUAGAGGUGAAAUUCUUGGACCGUCGCAAGACGAACUACUGCGAAAGCAUUUGCCAAGAAUGUUUCCAUUAAUCAAGAACGAAAGUUAGAGGUUCGAAGGCGAUCAGAUACCGCCCUAGUUCUAACCAUAAACGAUGCCAGCCAGCGAUCCGGCUGUGUUCCUCAAAUGACACGCCGGGCAGCUUCCGGGAAACCAAAGCUUUUGGGUUCCGGGGGAAGUAUGGUUGCAAAGCUGAAACUUAAAGGAAUUGACGGAAGGGCACCACCAGGAAUGGAGCCUGCGGCUUAAUUUGACUCAACACGGGAAAACUCACCCGGCCCGGACACAGGAAGGAUUGACAGAUUGAGAGCUCUUUCUUGAUUCUGUGGGUGGUGGUGCAUGGCCGUUCUUCGUUGGUGGAGCGAUUUGUCUGGUUAAUUCCGAUAACGAACGAGACUCUAGCCUACUAAAUAGACGUUCCGAUCAUCUAUGUCGGACGU
Molecule: ribosomal RNA, 1317 nt
Filed under: Tomobella andasibe
Lineage: Eukaryota; Metazoa; Arthropoda; Arachnida; Araneae; Salticidae
Description: SSU rRNA
Rfam family: Eukaryotic small subunit ribosomal RNA
Source: RNAcentral